GGGGAAUAUUGCACAAUGGGCGCAAGCCUGAUGCAGCGACGCCGCGUGAGGGAUGAAGGCCUUCGGGUUGUAAACCUCUUUCAGCAGGGAAGAAGCGAAAGUGACGGUACCUGCAGAAGAAGCGCCGGCUAACUACGUGCCAGCAGCCGCGGUAAUACGUAGGGCGCAAGCGUUGUCCGGAAUUAUUGGGCGUAAAGAGCUCGUAGGCGGUUUGUCGCGUCUGCUGUGAAAACCCGAGGCUCAACCUCGGGCUUGCAGUGGGUACGGGCAGACUAGAGUGCGGUAGGGGAGACUGGAAUUCCUGGUGUAGCGGUAAAAUGCACAGAUAUCAGGAGGAACACCGAUGGCGAAGGCAGGUCUCUGGGCCGCAACUGACGCUGAGGAGCGAAAGCGUGGGUAGCAAAC
This 405-nucleotide ribosomal RNA is filed under the name uncultured bacterium. RNAcentral describes it as "bacterial SSU rRNA". It matches the Rfam family "Bacterial small subunit ribosomal RNA", at positions 356 to 773 of the family's 1533-position model. The record is from RNAcentral.